Molecule: ribosomal RNA, 440 nt
Filed under: uncultured bacterium
Lineage: Bacteria
Description: partial 16S ribosomal RNA
Rfam family: Bacterial small subunit ribosomal RNA
Source: RNAcentral
CCUACGUGAGGCAGCAGUAGGGAAUAUUGCUCAAUGGGGGAAACCCUGAAGCAGCGACGCCGCGUGGAGGAUGAAGGCUUUCGGAUUGUAAACUUCUUUUGGUAGAGAAGAUAAUGACGGUAUCUAACGAAUAAGCACCGGCUAACUCCGUGCCAGCAGCCGCGGUAAUACGGAGGGUGCAAGCGUUACCCGGAUUCACUGGGUGUAAAGAGCGCGUAGGCGGGAUAGCAAGUCAGAUGUGAAAUCCUAUGGCUAAACCGUAGAACUGCAUUUGAAACUGUUAGUCUAGAGUGUAGGAGAGGUAAGUGGAAUUCUUGGUGUAGCGGGGAAAUCCGUAGAUAUCAGGAGGAAUACUCAUUGCGAAGGCGACCUACUGGAACGUAACUGACGCUGAUGCGCGAAAGCGUGGGGAGCAAACAGGAUUAGAUACCCGAGUAGUC